RNAcentral lists this ribosomal RNA (253 nucleotides) under uncultured bacterium. RNAcentral's name for it is "partial 16S ribosomal RNA". It matches the Rfam family "Bacterial small subunit ribosomal RNA", at positions 524 to 776 of the family's 1533-position model. The record is from RNAcentral.
UACAGGGGGGGCAAGCGUUGUUCGGAAUUACUGGGCGUAAAGGGCUCGUAGGUGGCCAACUAAGUCAGACGUGAAAUCCCUCAGCUUAACUGGGGAACUGCGUCCGAUACUGGAUGGCUUGGAUUUGGGAGAGGGAUGCGGAAUUCCAGGUGUAGCGGUGAAAUGCGUAGAUAUCUGGAGGAACACCGGUGGCGAAGGCGGCAUCCUGGACCAAUAUUGACGCUGAGGAGCGAAAGCCAGGGGAGCAAACGGG